Molecule: ribosomal RNA, 861 nt
Filed under: uncultured bacterium
Lineage: Bacteria
Description: bacterial SSU rRNA
Rfam family: Bacterial small subunit ribosomal RNA
Source: RNAcentral
UGGCGGGAUGCUUUACACAUGCAAGUCGAACGGUAGCAGGUCUUCGGAUGCUGACGAGUGGCGGACGGGUGCGUAACGCGUAGGAAUCUGCCUAUUAGUGGGGGACAACUUAGGGAAACUUAAGCUAAUACCGCAUACGCCCUACGGGGGAAAGGAGGGGACCUUCGGGCCUUUCGCUAAUAGAUGAGCCUGCGUUGGAUUAGCUAGUUGGUGGGGUAAAGGCCUACCAAGGCGACGAUCCAUAGCUGGUCUGAGAGGACGAUCAGCCACACUGGGACUGAGACACGGCCCAGACUCCUACGGGAGGCAGCAGUGGGGAAUAUUGGACAAUGGGCGAAAGCCUGAUCCAGCAAUACCGCGUGUGUGAAGAAGGCCUUAGGGUUGUAAAGCACUUUCAAUUGGAAGGAAAAACUCAUGGCCAAUACCCAUGAGCUUGACAUUACCUUUAGAAGAAGCACCGGCUAACUCCGUGCCAGCAGCCGCGGUAAUACGGAGGGUGCGAGCGUUAAUCGGAAUUACUGGGCGUAAAGCGUGCGUAGGCGGCUCGUUAAGUCAGAUGUGAAAGCCCUGGGCUCAACCUGGGAACGGCAUUUGAAACUGGCGAGCUAGAGUUUGGGAGAGGAGAGUGGAAUUUCAGGUGUAGCGGUGAAAUGCGUAGAGAUCUGAAGGAACACCAGUGGCGAAGGCGACUCUCUGGCCUAAAACUGACGCUGAGGUACGAAAGCGUGGGUAGCAAACAGGAUUAGAUACCCUGGUAGUCCACGCCGUAAACGAUGUCAACUAGCCGUUGGCUCUCUUAGAGAGUUAGUGGCGCAGCUAACGCAUUAAGUUGACCGCCUGGGGAGUACGGCCGCAAGGUUA